UACGUAGGAUGCAAGCGUUGUCCGGAAUUAUUGGGCGUAAAGAGCGCGCAGGCGGUGUGCCAAGUCAGAUGUGAAAUAUCCCGGCUUAACCGGGGAGGGUCAUUUGAAACUGGUAGACUAGAGUACAGCAGAGGAUAGCGGAAUUCCCGGUGUAGUGGUGAAAUGCGUAGAUAUCGGGAGGAACACCAGUGGCGAAGGCGGCUAUCUGGGCUGAAACUGACGCUGAGGCGCGAAGGCUAGGGGAG
RNAcentral lists this ribosomal RNA (245 nucleotides) under uncultured bacterium. RNAcentral's name for it is "partial 16S ribosomal RNA". It matches the Rfam family "Bacterial small subunit ribosomal RNA", at positions 524 to 768 of the family's 1533-position model. The record is from RNAcentral.